This 430-nucleotide ribosomal RNA is filed under the name uncultured bacterium. RNAcentral describes it as "bacterial SSU rRNA". It matches the Rfam family "Bacterial small subunit ribosomal RNA", at positions 355 to 775 of the family's 1533-position model. The record is from RNAcentral.
UGGGGAAUAUUGGGCAAUGGGCGCAAGCCUGACCCAGCCACGCCGCGUGAGUGAUGAAGGCUUUCGGGUCGUAAAGCUCUGUGGGGAGGGACGAAUCAGUUGCGGGAAUAAUACCCCGCGACCUUGACGGUACCUCCUUAGCAAGCACCGGCUAACUCCGUGCCAGCAGCCGCGGUAAUACGGAGGGUGCAAACGUUGCUCGGAAUCAUUGGGCGUAAAGCGCACGUAGGUGGCCUGACAUGUCGGGUGUGAAAUCCCUCGGCUUAACCGAGGAAGUGCAUUCGAAACUAGCGGGCUUGAAUACCCAAGAGGGUCUCGGAAUUCCCGGUGUAGAGGUGAAAUUCGUAGAUAUCGGGAGGAACACCAGUGGCGAACGCGGAGACCUGGGGGGAUAUUGACACUGAGGUGCGAAAGCGUGGGGAGCAAACAG